UUGUGAUUUCUGCUUGCCCUCUGAGUUUGUUUGCUGGUCAACCUGCUUUGCUGCCUAUAUGGUUCUGUUUUUGUUUUUGUUUUUUUUAAAUAAUAAACUGCCUUAAAUUGUUCCCUCCCUGCCUAGUCACAGUCAAACUUGGGUCUUCCUCCUCUCCUGCUUCCGUGACACCCUACCUGGACAGUUUUCAUACAAUCUGUUGUUGAUCUGAGGGGUGUGUGUGUGUGUGUGUUAACAUUGUAUCACCUGUCUUAUUUGUGUUUGUGUAUGAGUUAUUAUUUCUGUACUGAUUUAGUAUGAUUUUUUCUUGAACAAAGGGAAAUUUCACACACACUCACACACAUACACACACACACAGGUACUUACUUCACCAAAACUUACUGGAAAAUAAUCAGCGUCAUUAUUAGGUUGUAACAUGUGGCCCAACUCUCCCCAUCAAACCCUAUUAAUGUCUGUACCCAACAACAGACUACAGUCAUGACCAGGCUAGUCGUCAGCUCACCCAAUGCCAGGCCAACUGUCUGCUUACAGUCUUUAUUUAUGGGAACAAUUUAAGGCAGAAGACAAAAACAGAACCAUAUAGGCAGCAAAGCAGGUUGACCAGCAAACAAACUCAGAGGGCAAGCAGAAAUCACAAUCUGUAAAUCAGGCAUUUUCUCCCAGAGAACUACUGCUCACUGGAUAUCUUCUCUUUUUGGACCACUCUCUUUUGAACUUCAGCAGGUCGUCUGGAUCAUGUCUACAGGCCUAAAUGCACUGAGUUGCUGCCAUGUGAUUGGCUGAUUAACAAGCAAUUGAACAGUGGAUCAGCCAUGGACAAAGGUUUGCUGCUGGUCCUGUUGUGUCUGCAGGUCGUCCUGCUCACCACAGUCUUCACUUCUGCUGAUGCAGCCGCUCUGCUGAGAGAUGAUCAGCAUCAACAACCUGUUGAUCCAAUGAGAAGUCUGCAGCAAAUGAAAGGAAGACGACAGACGGAGCAGAAACUUCCAUACUGGAUAUUCUGCGGGAGGAGACGAGGAGGAUGCACUUUGACAGGAGACCUGCCACGUCCUGGGAUCAUCUUUUGACCAGUUCAAGUCACAUUCAAUAGACAUCUUGAGUCAAGCUCUGCAGGAAAUGCCAUUAGAUGCAAAAGACAGCAAAUGAAUGAAGAUAAUUGUAAUGCUUACAAAAUAAUGCAAGUGCUUUUUAUUAGAAAUAAAAAUUUCAAAUCAGA
Molecule: long non-coding RNA, 1216 nt
Organism: Amphiprion ocellaris (clown anemonefish)
Lineage: Eukaryota; Metazoa; Chordata; Actinopteri; Pomacentridae
Source: Ensembl